UCCGGUUUAAUGAGGCAUGGCAUGGCAAAGUGCAACACACAAUACUACAAGUUAAGUGGAGCUCAAUAUGCAACGAGUUGCAUAUUGACGAAACACCACAUCCGAGUUAUUUAGUUCGCUCUCGUUUAGGUACACAACAAUGUUAAAUGUUGUUAAACAUGGCAAGGGGUGUAACAAAAGUAAACUAACUAUUUAGGCAAGUUUAAAUGAGGCCGGAAGAACAAACAACAAUUCCGGAAAAUCCUCAUAUGCAAAUUAUGAAUUUGGUACUGUUCUGCCCUAAAACAUAUUUUAAAGUUGUUAAACAGGAAAAUAAAAUGGACCAUGUUAAACUAGGCAUUUUUCCACCCCAUUUACAUAUAAAGAACAUUUAAAACCGAGCUACGGUUAUUUAGUUAUGAAAUAAAUCAUUUUACAUGGCAUUUGAGCAAAUUUAAACAAACAUCAUUUUAAACAUUUUAAACAUGGAUGAAAGUGGCAUAUUAUUAAUCUACACAAGAUUCUAAGCAUUUUACAUAUUUAAAGUUUUUACAUAUGAUGCAUAAUUAGUGAGAUAUUAUAUGCAUGAUGUUUAGGGUCCAAUCUGUAAAACUGCAGACUCUGGAUAAUUGGGCAAAACCGCAGAACGGAAAAAAAUAAUGACACGGGCCGAAUCUGAUAGCCCAACAGAAGGGAAAGGAGGCGCUGGGGGAUGGCCUCACCCAUGGGCUUCGGCCCGUUGGUGGAGGAGGCUGGCUAGGCGCGGAGGCGCGCUGGGCCACGCGAUCUGGCACGGGAGGCCGGCUGGGGGGCGCAACCGGGCCUUGGAGCCCACCUGGCGGUCGCUUGCGGGCGAGGCGCAGUCAACGCGGGCGUCGACCUGCUGCUGCUCGAUCUGAACGAACAGGAGGGAGCUCGCGCAGGGGAAGCAGAGCUCGACUGCGCUCGGUGCAGUUCGUGAAGACGACAGCGGCGCGGGACGACGAGGGGCUCGAGUCGACGGAGCAAGUAGCAGGCACGGCGGCGCUGAGGACUCCGGCGCGGUCAACGGCGAGGAGGGGAGACCGGGCGAAGAGGUGGAGCGGGCGAUGGCAGGAGGGACUUGGCGGGGCGGCGGAGAGUGCGCAGGGGCUUGGGACUCCGGCAGCUUGGCGCGGGGCUGGAGCGGCAUGCGGACGACCCCGACGAGCUCCACGGCCACGGCGGACGACGGAACUGGACGCGAGCGGAGGCGUGCUGGAACGAGCGAGUCCCUGCUCGACGAAGAGGAAGCGGAGGCCGGCGCGACGAGAAGCAGGGGACGCAGCGCGGCCUGGUGCGACUGGGACUCCGAUGAAGGGCUGCGCGACGGGGAGGAGGUCGUGGCGGAGCGGUUCCCGGCGAGAGGGAGCAGCGGCUGCUGAUGUUGUCUGAAGAAAGAAAGAAAGAGAGAUUCAGAGAGGGAACAUAAGAGGUAGUCAGAGAGAGAGACGGGAGGAAGGGCGCUGCGUUGAACUCAUCUGUUGCGGCUUGCUCGGGGACAGAAGGACGGGCGCCACAGGAGGAGUUGGAUGCUCGGGGUUGCUGGAGGUUGGCGCUCGAACGAGGGGCUCCUGGCUCGAGGGCGACGAGGAGACCGAGGAGGGUUGGAUCGAGGGGAGGCCUCGGGCAGGUGGUUGGAUUGGCAGGGGAGAUCGAGCGGGGAGGAGGAGGCGCUCGAUGGAUUGGAUCGGGCAAGAUGAGGCAGGGGAUCGAACGAGGAAGGAGGGCGAGGGGAUCUGGAACGAGGAGGAGGGAGAGCGCUGGUUGGGUGGAGAAGGAUCGGGAGGGGAUCCCGAGAGGGUUUUGGUCGGGUGGCGGCGGAGGGAAUGGAAGGAUGGGACAGGUGCCUAGAUUCUAGGGUUAGUCUUUAUAUAACACAAGUGAAUUUUGGAUAGGGGUAUUUGGUCCCUCCGAUCGUAAUCGGACGGCGAAAAAAAAUAGGCUAGAGAGUCCAAAUAAGAAAACGGAGAUAUUUUGUAGAUGUUAGGGGAUGAUCCGGACCCAACGGUAAUGACAGACCGGUUCGGGUUCGGGCAAGUUUCGGACACGCACACGAGGGUGCUGCGAGCUGGCAAGAGAGGUUAGGUCGUCAGACAAGAGGGACUCGAAAACCCGGUUGGACUCAGAUCGGUCAACGAAGGCAAGGGGGGGAAAGCGGCAACUACGAGCGGAUGCAAGUUUUAAGAAAAACGAUGCCGAUGCAAUGCGAAUGAUGCGAUGAUGAAAUGCAUGACAUGAACAAAAUGCAAAACAAAAAGCAAAAACCCAACCACGAAGGAAAAAUCAUAUCGCAUCUCCGGAAAAGGCAAGAGUUGGAGUUAUGAAUAUGGAAAGCUACAUCCGGGGCGUUACAACACUCCACCACUAUGAGAGGAUCUCGUCCCGAGAUCUAGGAUGGCACCGGAGGGAAAACGGAAGAGGAAGAGAAGAGGUAAAACUAAGUUGCUUCUUUGACCAAUGAGUGAAACCAAAGAACCUUGAGAGGUUGAACAAAUUGAAAGAAAAAAAACAAUGAAGAUGAGCAAAGUUGAAAACACUCUGUUAGAAAAGAGGAACAAGGAGUAUUACGAGGACUUGAAGGUUGCAAAGACAUGGAAAUAAGAGCUUAAUGGACAAGGUAGAAUUUGAACACACUCCGGUUAAAACAACAUGAGAGAGGAAGAAUGAUAUAAUUUGGGCAGCACUCCGACUGUAAAUGGAAGGAAAAGAACAUGAACUUGACAAGAUGAGAGGAUACAUGAUGAAAUGAACAACACACUGCCUCCGGAAUUGAAAGAAUGGCACAAGGGGUGAGAAACACUACAAACCGCACUCCGGUUGAGAAGGGAGGCAAAACUUGAUAAGAUGAAAGAGCUCGAGUGAGAACACAACACUCCGGUUAAGAAAAAAAAACAUGAUCUUUACAAAAUGAGAUGAUGGGUCGAAGAGAGUAACAUCACAAUGCCUCUGGAACAAAAGAAUAGAAGAUAGAUCACUGGAAUAACAGAAUGUAGGAGAAAAUGCAAACUUCUGCCACAAAUGAGCUCGGAAAGCACCCUUCCAAGAAGGUUAUAACGGAGUUGUUGGAAAACCAACAACGAAAAGAAUAAGUUUGUAGUGGGCUUAUGGAAACAUCUCAACAUUAUGAGGUGACAACCGACCACUAACGGAAGCAAUUGCUUGCUUGAGAUUAACGAAGAGAUGAAAGCUUGUUCCACCAAGAGGAUAAAGAGCAAGCUUGGGUCAUACCUAAACACCAUAAAUAGCAACAACCCUUAAGGAAAGGCUUUAGGUGAAAACUGACACGAGAUAAUUCCAACGAAGAAGUUGAUUGGUCGAAAAGAUCUCUUGAACGAAGAGAAAAUGAUGGAUUUAAAAUACCUCAUUCUUGACAACAUAUGAAUCAUGAAACAUGAAUGGAAAUUGCCAAGAAUGAUAUAACACCACCUCAAAAGCUAAGGUAGAAAGAAUUGCACUGUGGAAUGCAAGAUGAAGAAUACUUGAACUUCUCAAAACAAAACAAGUGUUGGGCACCCUGUUUAAUUUUUGAGUAUAGCUUGGCGGAUCAUAACUUCGAGCAAAAUCUUGAAGAACAAUUGAAGAAUGAAAAGAAUCCUUGACGACCCACCGUUUAGAGCCUCCAUGAAGAACUCCGGUAAUAGAAGGAUGAGCAAUUGAAACCAAGAAUGUGAUAAGAUGACCAACUCUGGAAAGAAAGAUGAAUCACUUGUAGUCAAGAAUUUAUUCAUCAUGAAUAAUCUCCGGAAGAAAAGAAUUAAAUCACCUCGAGGAAAUAAGAAUAAGAUUUAUUGUAUGCUUGUCCUUCAUCAAAUUAAAUUGAUGACAAGCAAUGGAUUUGGCAUGCCACUUAUUCUCGUAGAAAGGAUUAAGAUAGAUAUAGCGCAAAACUUGAGGAAGUCUUCAUGAACCACCGGUAGGAUAGGAAAGAACGAAUGAAUUGAUAUGAUAACAAAGGAAAAAGAAUCUGAAGGAACCACCGAUGGGAUUUGGAAACAACGAGUGAGUUAAUGAAUUGAUAUGAUGACAAAUGAAGAGAAAUCUUGAACGAACCACCGUAAGAAUUGAAAAUGAGCAUAGCAAAGGCACGAUUCACCGGGAAGAAUUGGAAAACAAAUGAAGAUGCUUGAGGGGAUUUAGAUACAUGAGAACAAAGAGAUCAUGAACUGAUUAGAGGAUAUUUGAACGAUUCACUGGUAAGAUUUGGAGAACGAUAGCUACACGCUGAGAAUGAAGAAUUAUGACAUGAUGGCCUUCGUAGAAAAGAAAUGGAAGCAACUCAUGAAAUGCUCCGGAUGGUAAGAAAAGAAUUGUCACAAUCGAAAACAAUUAUGAGAGGAUGGCAUCAAGCUAGCACCAUGAAUCUUGAAGAGAAUAGAGCAAGAUUAAAGAGAAACUCUUCUUCGGUCUUCACAUGCUGAGAAUGAUGACAAGAACCACCAAAAAUGAUGAGGCACUUCGGAACAAAGAAGAAUAGAAAUGAUGAACCAACGAUGAAAAUAUUAUGAAAGCAAUCUUGGAGAAGGAAUAUGACUGAUGAAAAUUCAUUCUUACGUCAAACUUUGAAAGGAAUUUGAGAAUCGCUCCGGAUAAAUUAGAAGAGUCAGGUAAGAUCCUGGGAAAAGACCUGUGGGUUAGGGCCCACUCAAAAGAAAACACCGUUGGAAAUGAUUUUAAAGAGAGAUUGCACCGGUUGAAUUAAAUGGCUUGAAUGAGAUAAGAGCCUCACAAUAACUUGAACGGAUAGAGAAUGGAAACACGGAACUUCCGAGAUAUCUUCAACACUCCGGAACAAAUGAAUAGCAAGAGGUGAGUGAUUGAGAGGUGCACCGGCAUGAGAAAGCAUUUGACACGAGGAAAGGAAUAUUAUCAACACUGAAAGCUUGAAUUGGAUCCACCGGAGAAGCAAAAAGAACGGAGGAUGAUGGACUCAAAGCUCCGUUAGCAUCUUUCUGAGAAUCACCGGAUAAGAACAUUGACGGGAAAAGAGUGGAGAAUCUUCACAUGAAUAAAUGGAUGCUUGAUUAAAAAAAAUCUGAGUCCUUGAAGAAAAAGGGUGGGAGGGUGGGGAAAAACAAAGACAACUUGGGAUGAACGAAACAAACACCGUUGAGAAAACGUAGAAUUGAUCUUGCGGAUGGGGAGAAUGACGGGAUCAUCUCGAAGAGAAGCGCACCGGUUGGAAAAGAAUUAACAUGACAACCUCAAUGAUCAAAAAGGAUUAGUAUUCACAUAGCAAUAUGAGAACACCGUUUAGGAAAGGUAUGGAUUCAACAUUUGACUUCGAAGCAACUCGACUACCACAACUCAAAACAAAACAAAGGAUUUGGCUUGUAGAAUAAGCCGGAACAAACAUAUGAUAGAGAUUUACCCAAUCCCAUAUCAUGCAUCUGUCGGAAAGAUAUUCUAGGAGCUACUUGAAUUCCCACCUAUAAAACUCCCGAAACUUUCUGGUUAUGCAAUCUGGUGUUGGGGAUACAGGGGAAGCAAUAUAUCUCACCCAAACUAACAAUCCCUACAUCCAGCUGUAUCCAUCCGUCAACACAUAACCAAGAAACUUUCGGAAAUCGUGUACCUCAACCUUCGAAAAGCAUCUGUUAUACAAGUCAUGGCAAUACUCCCGUACUCACCUCAGUACUGGGUUAUCGGGGUUAUCUCACCAACAACUGCAUAAAAGAGAUUUCCGAUGUCGGCGUACUAAACUCAGGUAUUCCAGAACUGCAACGAUAAAAUUAUGACGACAACACCUUAGAGCUCAACUCCCCGGGACACUUCCACUAAACCCCUGACAGGAGGCACCAAGACAAUGUUCUCAUCAUAAAACCAUCGGAACGAUUCCAAGAUACCCGCGUGAUCCUAAAAAGAAUUUAGUGAAAUUUGAGAAGAGAAGAGUCAAAACUCUACGUCAGGAGACCUCACCAGAGCGAUGAAGGGACUGAGGAGUAAAAAGAAUUCCUAACUCUCCGAUAUAUAUAAUCCUAAAUGACUCAAAACAUUUUUCUAGACACAACUCGGCCGCUAAAAACGAUCAAGCAGUGGGGCUCCUAAGGUCGAGGAAGGCUCUGAUACCAACUUGUAACGCCCUCGAUGCGGCUAUAUCUCCCACGUGUCGAAGCACGACUUAGAGGCAUAACCGCAUUGAAAGCAAUGUCGCAAGUGAGGUAAUCUUCACACAACCCAUGUAAUACAUAAGGGAAAGAGAUACAUAGUUGGCUUACAAUCGCCACUUCAAACAAUUACAUGAAUAAAGCAUUACAUCAUCCAGAUACAAUCAAGGUCCGACUACGGAACCAAAAUAAAAGAAGAACCCCAAAUGCGACAAAGGUCCCCGAUCGACCCCAACUGGGCUCCACUACUGAUCAACUAGAACGAAACAACACAAAGGGCAAGAUCUUCAUCGAGCUCCUCCUUGAGCUCGGAUGCGUCACCUGCACGGUUACAUAGGCACCUGCAAACUGGUGUUGGAAGUAUCUGGUGAGCCACGAGGACUCAGCAAUCCCAUUACCAUGGGUAUCAAGACUAGCAAAGCUUAAUGGGAAAGGAAGGGGUAAAGUGGUGAGGUUGCAGCAGCGACUAAGCAAGUAUGGUGGCUAACAUACGCAAAAGAGAGCGAGAAGAGAAACAAGCGGAACGGUCGUGAAGCUAACAAUGAUCAAGAGGUGAUCCUGAACACCUACUUACGUCAAACAUAACCCAAAGACCGUGUUCACUUCCCGAACUCCGUCGAGAAGAGACCAUCACGGCUACACACACGGUUGAUGCGUUUAAUUCGGAUCUGGUGUCAAGUUAUCUACAACCGGACAUUAACAAAUUCCCAUCUGCCACAUAACCGCGGGCACGGCUCUCGAAAGUUUAUACCCUGCAGGGGUGUCCCAACUUAGCCCAUGACAAGCUCUCGCGAUCAACGAAGGAAUAGACCUUCUCCCAGGAAGACCCGAUCAGUCUCAGAAUCCCGGUUUACAAGACAUUUCGACAAUGGUAAAACAAGACCAGCAAAGCCGCUCGAUGCGCCGACAAUCCCGAUAGGAGCUGCACAUAUCUCGUUCUCAGGGCAACACCGGAUAAGUCAAGCUACGAGUAAAACCAGCCCUCGAGUUGCCACGAGGUGGCCCCGCAGGCUGCUCGGUUCGGACCAACACUUAGACAAGCACUGGCCCGGGGGGGCUAAAAUAAAGAUGACCCUCGGGUUGGCCGACCCAAGGGAAAGGGAUAGGUGGUGGUGAGGCAAAUGGUAAAACCAAGGUUGGGCCUUGCUGGACAAGUUUUAUUCAAAGCGAACUGUCAGGGGGGUCCCAUAAAUCACCCGACCGCGUUAGGAACGCAAAAUCCGGGAACAUAACACCGGUAUGAUGGAAACUAGGGCGGCAAGAGUGGAACAAAACACCAGGCAUAAGGCCAGGCCUUCCACCCUUUACCAAAUAUAUAGAUGCAUUAAUAAUAUAAGAGAUAUUGUGAUAUCCCAACAUAACCCUGUCCACCAUGGAGCAAUCUUCAACUUCACCUGCAACUAGCAACGCUAUAAGAGGGGCUGAGCAAAGCGGUAACAUAGCCAAUCAAUGGUUUGCAUAGGAAAGGUGUCAAAGGUUAGAGGUUCAUGGCAAUAUGGGAUGGCUUGAUAAAAAAGUAAUAGGUAGCGCAGCAUAGCGAUAGAACGAAGCAACUAGCAUAGCAAUGAUAGUAGUGAGAUCCAGGGUAGCGGUCAUCUUGCCUGAAAUCCCGCAAGGAAGAAGAACGAGUCCAUGAAGACGACAAAAGGACGUAGUCGAACGAAUCCUCACAAUCGCAACAUUACCGGAACUAAGAGGCAACACCGGAAAGAAACAAACAACAUGGUAAACAACCAUCACAUAAGCAUGGCAUGAUGCACAAUCAAGUAUGAUGCAUGUCCGGUUUAAUGAGGCAUGGCAUGGCAAAGUGCAACACACAAUACUACAAGUUAAGUGGAGCUCAAUAUGCAAUGAGUUACAUAUUGACGAAACACCACAUCCGAGUUAUUUAGUUCGCUCUCGUUUAGGUACACAACAAUGUUAAAUGUUGUUAAACAUGGCAAGGGGUGUAACAAAAGUAAACUAACUAUUUAGGCAAGUUUAAAUGAGGCCGGAAGAACAAACAACAAUUCCGGAAAAUCC
Molecule: long non-coding RNA, 8126 nt
Filed under: Triticum aestivum (bread wheat)
Lineage: Eukaryota; Viridiplantae; Streptophyta; Magnoliopsida; Poales; Poaceae
Description: long non-coding RNA (TAES_LNC026901)
Source: RNAcentral